This 478-nucleotide ribosomal RNA is filed under the name uncultured bacterium. Its description in RNAcentral is "bacterial SSU rRNA". It matches the Rfam family "Bacterial small subunit ribosomal RNA", at positions 335 to 800 of the family's 1533-position model. The record is from RNAcentral.
ACUCCUACGGGAGGCAGCAGUGGGGAAUAUUGCACAAUGGGGGAAACCCUGAUGCAGCCAUGCCGCGUGUGUGAAGAAGGCCUUCGGGUUGUAAAGCACUUUCAGUAGGGAGGAAGGUAGUGUAGUUAACACCUGCAUUAUUUGACGUUACCUACAGAAGAAGCACCGGCUAACUCCGUGCCAGCAGCCGCGGUAAUACGGAGGGUGCGAGCGUUAAUCGGAAUUACUGGGCGUAAAGCGCAUGCAGGCGGCCUGUUAAGUCAGAUGUGAAAGCCCGGGGCUUAACCUCGGAAUUGCAUUUGAAACUGGCAGGCUAGAGUCUUGUAGAGGGGGGUAGAAUUUCAGGUGUAGCGGUGAAAUGCGUAGAGAUCUGAAGGAAUACCAGUGGCGAAGGCGGCCCCCUGGACAAAAGACUGACGCUCAGAUGCGAAAAGCGUGGGGGAGCAAAACAGGAUUAGAUACCCUGGUAGCACAGAGC